Molecule: long non-coding RNA, 414 nt
Filed under: Mytilus galloprovincialis (Mediterranean mussel)
Lineage: Eukaryota; Metazoa; Mollusca; Bivalvia; Mytilida; Mytilidae
Source: RNAcentral
AAUUACCAAUUCAGGGGCAGCAACCUAUCAACGGGUUGUCCGAUUCAUCUGAAAAUUUCAGGGCAGAUAGAUCUUGACCUGAUAAACAAUUUUACUACAUGUCAGAUUUGCUCUAAAUGCUUUGGUUUUUGAGUUAUAAGCCAAAAACUGCAUUUUACCCCUAUGUUCUAUUUUUAGCCAUGGCGGCCAUCUUGGUUGGUUGGGCGGGUCACCGGACACAAUUUUUAAACUAGAUACCCCAAUGAUGAUUGUGGCCAAGUUUGGUUUAAUUUGGUCCAGUAGUUUCAGAGGAGAAGAUUUUUGUAAAAGUUAACGACGGACGACGACGACGGACGACGACGACGGACGACGGACGCCAAGUGAUGAGAAAAGCUCACUUGGCCCUUCGGGCCAGGUGAGCUAAUAAAAACAAGA